Molecule: ribosomal RNA, 1372 nt
Filed under: uncultured bacterium
Lineage: Bacteria
Description: bacterial SSU rRNA
Rfam family: Bacterial small subunit ribosomal RNA
Source: RNAcentral
GAUGAACGCUGGCGGCGUGCCUAAUACAUGCAAGUCGAGCGAACGGACGAGAAGCUUGCUUUUCUGAUGUUAGCGGCGGACGGGUGAGUAACACGUGGAUAACCUACCUAUAAGACUGGGAUAACUUCGGGAAACCGGAGCUAAUACCGGAUAAUAUUUUGAACCGCAUGGUUCAAAAGUGAAAGACGGUCUUGCUGUCACUUAUAGAUGGAUCCGCGCUGCAUUAGCUAGUUGGUAAGGUAACGGCUUACCAAGGCAACGAUGCAUAGCCGACCUGAGAGGGUGAUCGGCCACACUGGAACUGAGACACGGUCCAGACUCCUACGGGAGGCAGCAGUAGGGAAUCUUCCGCAAUGGGCGAAAGCCUGACGGAGCAACGCCGCGUGAGUGAUGAAGGUCUUCGGAUCGUAAAACUCUGUUAUUAGGGAAGAACAUAUGUGUAAGUAACUGUGCACAUCUUGACGGUACCUAAUCAGAAAGCCACGGCUAACUACGUGCCAGCAGCCGCGGUAAUACGUAGGUGGCAAGCGUUAUCCGGAAUUAUUGGGCGUAAAGCGCGCGUAGGCGGUUUUUUAAGUCUGAUGUGAAAGCCCACGGCUCAACCGUGGAGGGUCAUUGGAAACUGGAAAACUUGAGUGCAGAAGAGGAAAGUGGAAUUCCAUGUGUAGCGGUGAAAUGCGCAGAGAUGUGGAGGAACACCAGUGGCGAAGGCAACUUUCUGGUCUGUAACUGACGCUGAUGUGCGAGAGCGUGGGGAUCAAACAGGAUUAGAUACCCUGGUAGUCCACGCCGUAAACGAUGAGUGCUAAGUGUUAGGGGGUUUCCGCCCCUUAGUGCUGCAGCUAACGCAUUAAGCACUCCGCCUGGGGAGUACGACCGCAAGGUUGAAACUCAAAGGAAUUGACGGGGGCCCGCACAAGCGGUGGAGCAUGUGGUUUAAUUCGAAGCAACGCGAAGAACCUUACCAAAUCUUGACAUCCUUUGACAACUCUAGAGAUAGAGCCUUCCCCUUCGGGGGACAAAGUGACAGGUGGUGCAUGGUUGUCGUCAGCUCGUGUCGUGAGAUGUUGGGUUAAGUCCCGCAACGAGCGCAACCCUUAAGCUUAGUUGCCAUCAUUAAGUUGGGCACUCUAAGUUGACUGCCGGUGACAAACCGGAGGAAGGUGGGGAUGACGUCAAAUCAUCAUGCCCCUUAUGAUUUGGGCUACACACGUGCUACAAUGGACAAUACAAAGGGCAGCGAAACCGCGAGGUCAAGCAAAUCCCAUAAAGUUGUUCUCAGUUCGGAUUGUAGUCAGCAACUCGACUACAUGAAGCUGGAAUCGCUAGUAAUCGUAGAUCAGCAUGCUACGGUGAAUACGUUCCCGGGUCU